UGACCUUAGUACGGCGAGUGAAGCGGCAAAAGCUCAAAUUUGAAAUCUGGUACCUUCGGUGCCCGAGUUGUAAUUUGGAGAGGGCAACUUUGGGGCCGUUCCUUGUCUAUGUUCCUUGGAACAGGACGUCAUAGAGGGUGAGAAUCCCGUGUGGCGAGGAGUGCGGUUCUUUGUAAAGUGCCUUCGAAGAGUCGAGUUGUUUGGGAAUGCAGCUCUAAGUGGGUGGUAAAUUCCAUCUAAAGCUAAAUAUUGGCGAGAGACCGAUAGCGAACAAGUACAGUGAUGGAAAGAUGAAAAGAACUUUGAAAAGAGAGUGAAAAAGUACGUGAAAUUGUUGAAAGGGAAGGGCAUUUGAUCAGACAUGGUGUUUUGUGCCCUCUGCUCCUUGUGGGUAGGGGAAUCUCGCAUUUCACUGGGCCAGCAUCAGUUUUGGUGGCAGGAUAAAUCCAUAGGAAUGUAGCUUGCCUCGGUAAGUAUUAUAGCCUGUGGGAAUACUGCCAGCUGGGACUGAGGACUGCGACGUAAGUCAAGGAUGCUGGCAUAAUGGUUAUAUGCCGCCCGUCUUGAACCCCCGACACCA
This 580-nucleotide ribosomal RNA is filed under the name Saccharomyces cerevisiae (brewer's yeast). Its description in RNAcentral is "partial large subunit ribosomal RNA". It matches the Rfam family "Eukaryotic large subunit ribosomal RNA", at positions 73 to 664 of the family's 3401-position model. The record is from RNAcentral. Lineage: Eukaryota; Fungi; Ascomycota; Saccharomycetes; Saccharomycetales; Saccharomycetaceae.